CCCGUGCUACAACCGCUCGAACCAGGUCUUAAAGCAUCGCGAGAUCACCUGGAUAGGCGAGUCUUAGUCUAAGA
This is a regulatory RNA element of Planococcus rifietoensis, 74 nucleotides long. The record is from Rfam. NCBI's taxonomy places the organism in Bacteria, Bacillati, Bacillota, Bacilli, Caryophanales, Caryophanaceae.